Molecule: ribosomal RNA, 484 nt
Filed under: uncultured bacterium
Lineage: Bacteria
Description: partial 16S ribosomal RNA
Rfam family: Bacterial small subunit ribosomal RNA
Source: RNAcentral
AUUGAACGCUGGCGGCAUGCUUUACACAUGCAAGUCGAACGGCAGCGCGGGCUUAGCCCUGGCGGCGAGUGGCCAACGGGUGAGUAAUUCAUCGGUACGUGCCCAGCUGCGGGGGAUAGCGCGGCGACAGCCGGAUUCAUACCGUAAUCGACCUGAGGGUGUAAGCGGGGAAGCGAAAGGCCUCGCGCCAUUGGAGCGGCCGAUGUCGGAUUAGCUAGUUGGUGGGGUAAAGGCUUACCAAGGCGACGAUCCGUAGCUGGUCUGAGAGGACGACCAGCCACACUGGAACUGAGACACGGCCCAGACUCCUACGGGAGGCAGCAGUGGGGAAUUUUGGACAAAGGGGGCAACCCUGAUCCAGCCAUGCCGCGUGCGGGAAGAAGGCCUUCGGGUUGUAAAGCGCUUUUGUUCGGGAAGAAAAGCUGUGGGCUAAUACCCCGGUGGGAUGACGGUACCGAAAGAAUAAGCACCGGCUAACUACGUG